RNAcentral lists this ribosomal RNA (425 nucleotides) under uncultured bacterium. RNAcentral's name for it is "partial 16S ribosomal RNA". It matches the Rfam family "Bacterial small subunit ribosomal RNA", at positions 354 to 796 of the family's 1533-position model. The record is from RNAcentral.
GUGGGGAAUCUUGCGCACUGGGCGAAAGCCUGACGCAGCCAUGCCGCGUGAAUGAUGAAGGUCUUAGGAUUGUAAAAUUCUUUCACCGGGGACGAUAAUGACGGUACCCGGAGAAGAAGCUCCGGCUAACUUCGUGCCAGCAGCCGCGGUAAUACGAAGGGGGCUAGCGUUGCUCGGAAUUACUGGGCGUAAAGGGCGCGUAGGCGGACAGCUUAGUCAGAGGUGAAAGCCCAGGGCUCAACCUUGGAAUUGCAUUUGAUACUGGCUGUCUUGAGUUUGGGAGAGGGGAGUAGUACUGCGAGUGUAGAGGUGAAAGUCGUAGAUAUUCGGAAGAACACCAGUGGCGAAGGCGACUCACUGGCCCAAUACUGACGCUGAGGCGCGAAAGCGUGGGGAGCAAACAGGAUUAGAUACCCGAGUAGUCC